AUGGGGAGCGGCGAUAACGAAGCGCCUAAUAUUCAGUUUAAAAAGAAGAAGAAGGCGAAAUCUUUAAGGAAACGCGAAGCUCUCUCGGAUGACAAUGAGAAAGUCGAGGAGAUAAAGAUCACUCAGAAACUCAGCGAGAGAUCGGUUGGCGUCGAUAUUGUUAGUUUGACACACGCUCGAAGAAAGCGUCUCAUCCGAUGUGUUUACGUUCUUUAAUAUAACGGAUUCCUUUAAUAUGAAAACCGAAGAAAUGGUAAAUAUGCGUUGAAGAAUACAAAACAUAACAAUGCAUACAUAUGACACGCAUUGGAACGCAAUUUAAUGCAGAGACCAAUAAACGCAAUAAGGAUGAAGAAAUAGUCAAGUAUAUAGAACAAGAAUUGUUGUAGUAAAAAUAAUAACAAUACAGUAAAUAGUACGAAUAAUGAUAAGGAAUGAUAUUACUCACCAGAGAAAGCAGCGUUACACACGGUACCAGAACAUUUGAGGCAAAGCUUGACCAUUUGUAGCAAGGAAAUGCUUUCGAAUCAAAUACUAUUUGGUAUUCCAGAAGUCGAUCUUGGCAUAGAAGUCAAAAUUUGUAACAUUGAGGCUAUAGAGCAAGUGAAAUUAAAACUUCUUUGGAACAGACACAGAAAAAAAAAAGGGCCCUCACGGUUUGCUCCUACAAAUAUGGCUGUGAAUUUUGUGCAACACAACAGAUGUUUCUGUAACUUAGAACAAAAUGCAAGUUUUGACUUAAGGCGAAAAAGAAAAGGAAGGGAAAAUAGGACAAAAGAACAGUGCAAAAAAUACAACGAAAAUAACAGCGGGCGAUAAACACGCACUUUACAAACAUUACGACCAGGAGGGAAAAUUUUAAAUCGAACACAAAAUCCAAGUGUAAAGAUCAAAGUCGAUUCAUCUAUUAUCUACCGUCUAAUCAAGUCUCCUGAAAUCAAGAAGAUAGAUACGCUCUUAAACGUCUCGAUUACUCUUCUUAUCUUUCUCGAUCCUACGAUUCAUCUGUAUGUAUUAUAAAUCGUAAUAUUUAUCAGAAAUUUGGGAGAUUUAAGAAAUUGUUUAGGAGAAAAACUCGGAUAGCAAGAUAAUUUUUGCUACAAUCAUGUCGAAGAUUUACAAUUUUGUCUUUUCAUAUAUCAAUAAGAUAUUUCAAUGCAAUUAAAAGGAAAAUUCUGCAUCCAAAUCCUGUAAAGUAUACGAUUUUACUGAUGUUAAUUAAAAUUUAUGUUAUUAAAAAUAUGCGACGA
Molecule: long non-coding RNA, 1250 nt
Organism: Monomorium pharaonis (pharaoh ant)
Lineage: Eukaryota; Metazoa; Arthropoda; Insecta; Hymenoptera; Formicidae
Product: telomere length and silencing protein 1 homolog
Exons: 6
Source: RefSeq, a predicted model, not a curated record